CCUACGGGAGACUGCAGUAGGGAAUCUUUCACAAUGGGCGAAAGCCUGAUGGAGCAACGCCGCGUGCAGGAUGAAGGCCUUCGGGUUGUAAACUGCUUUUAUAAGCGAGAAAUAUGAUGGUAACUUAUGAAUAAGGAUCGGCUAACUACGUGCCAGCAGCCGCGGUCAUACGUAGGAUCCAAGCAUUAUCCGGAGUGACUGGGUGUAAAGAGUUGCGUAGGUGGCAUAAUAAGUAGCUAGUGAAAUCUGGUGGCUCAACCAUUCAGACUAUUAGCUAAACUGUUAAGCUCGAGACCGUUAGGGGUAACUGGAAUUUCUAGUGUAGGAGUGAAAUCCGUAGAUAUUAGAAGGAACACCAAUAGCGUAGGCAGGUUGCUGGGACGGUUCUGACACUAAGGCACGAAAGCGUAGGGAGCAAACGGGAUUAGAUACCCGUGUAGUC
This 442-nucleotide ribosomal RNA is filed under the name uncultured bacterium. Its description in RNAcentral is "partial 16S ribosomal RNA". It matches the Rfam family "Bacterial small subunit ribosomal RNA", at positions 338 to 795 of the family's 1533-position model. The record is from RNAcentral.